GACGAACGCUGGCGGCGUGCUUAACACAUGCAAGUCGAACGGAAAGGCCCUGCUUUUGUGGGGUGCUCGAGUGGCGAACGGGUGAGUAACACGUGAGUAACCUGCCCUUGACUUUGGGAUAACUUCAGGAAACUGGGGCUAAUAUCGGAUAGGAGCUCCUGCUGCAUGGUGGGGGUUGGAAAGUUUCGGCGGUUGGGGAUGGACUGGCGGCUUAUCAGCUUGUUGGUGGGGUAGUGGCUUACAAAGGCUUUGACGGGUAGCCGGCCUGAGAGGGUGACCGGCCACAUUGGGACUGAGAUACGGCGCAGACUCCUACGGGAGGCAGCAGUGGGGAAUAUUGCACAAUGGGCGGAAGCCUGAUGCAGCAACGCCGCGUGCGGGAUGACGGCCUUCGGGUUGUAAACCGCUUUCGCCUGUGACGAAGCGUGAGUGACGGUAAUGGGUAAAGAAGCACCGGCUAACUACGUG
Molecule: ribosomal RNA, 468 nt
Filed under: uncultured bacterium
Lineage: Bacteria
Description: partial 16S ribosomal RNA
Rfam family: Bacterial small subunit ribosomal RNA
Source: RNAcentral